AACCCAAACUAAUUAUUUUCGGCGUAAAACGUGCCAACUAUAAAUCUCACAAUAGAAUUAAAACCCAACUUAUAUGUGAAAAUUCAUUGUUAGGACUAAAGACCGAUAACGAAAGUAAUUCUAAUCAUUUAUAUAAUGCACGAUAGCUAAGAUCCAAACUGGGAUUAGAUACCCCACUAUGCUUAGCCCUAAACCUUAAUAAUUACAUCUACAAAAAUAUUUGCCAGAGAACUACUAGCUACAGCUUAAAACUCAAAGGACUUGGCGGUACUUUAUAUCCAUCUAGAGGAGCCUGUUCUAUAAUCGAUAAACCCCGUUCUACCUCACCACCUCUUGCUAAUU
This 342-nucleotide ribosomal RNA is filed under the name Rattus rattus (black rat). Its description in RNAcentral is "partial 12S ribosomal RNA". The record is from RNAcentral. Lineage: Eukaryota; Metazoa; Chordata; Mammalia; Rodentia; Muridae.